Molecule: non-coding RNA, 138 nt
Organism: Microthyrium microscopicum
Lineage: Eukaryota; Fungi; Ascomycota; Dothideomycetes; Microthyriales; Microthyriaceae
Source: the annotation of a GenBank genome assembly
GCUUCCUUAGCUCAGUUGGUAGAGCGGUAAGGACGAUCUUUCUUCUUCAAGCUAGCGGUUGACUAACCCAUUAUAGCUUGACUAGUACAGUCUAUGAUUGUUAUCAAGAAGUCACUCGUUCAAAUCGGGUAGGAAGCA